RNAcentral lists this ribosomal RNA (297 nucleotides) under uncultured eukaryote. RNAcentral describes it as "partial 18S ribosomal RNA". It matches the Rfam family "Eukaryotic small subunit ribosomal RNA", at positions 1470 to 1796 of the family's 1831-position model. The record is from RNAcentral.
CCCUUAGACGCUCUAGGCGGCACGCGCGUUACAAUGGGUGGUAGAACGUGUAACUGCUCCCGAAAGGGAGGGUGAACCACGAAUACUUACCCGUGAAUGGGAUAGUUUGUUGCAAUUUUCGGACUUGAACUAGGAAUCCCUUGUAAGAAUGCUCAAGAAUAGCGUGCUGAAUACGUCCCUGCCGUUUGUACACACCGCCCGUCGUUUCUUCCGACUGAUACUCAUUGUGAGUUGCAAGGAUUCUUAUUGAAAAAUUGCUGCGAAUGCUUUGUAUUGGAGGAAGAAAAAGUCGUAACA